GUUUUUACAUAAAUAGGUAUGCAUGUAGGGUUAAGAUAUUUAUAUCUUCCCAUAUUGAUGAUUCUAAAGUUGAUUUUUGUCUUCUCGAGUGAGACGAUGAGGCUAUGAAGUGCACGCCCCUUUGAGAAUUAGUGUCCUUAACCACUUCAAUCCACAUGCUCUAUCUUCCAAGCCUUUGCUGGGCCUUGAAUCUCUAGCAACCACAGACCAAGG
This 213-nucleotide long non-coding RNA is filed under the name Elaeis guineensis (African oil palm). RNAcentral describes it as "long non-coding RNA (EGUI_LNC062082)". The record is from RNAcentral. Lineage: Eukaryota; Viridiplantae; Streptophyta; Magnoliopsida; Arecales; Arecaceae.